AACGAACGCUGGCGGCAGGCUUAACACAUGCAAGUCGAACGCUCGUAGCAAUACGGGAGUGGCGGACGGGUGAGUAACGCGUGGGAACGUGCCCUGAGGUACGGAAUAACUGAGGGAAACUUCAGCUAAUACCGUAUGAGCCCCGAGAGGGGGGAAAGAUUUAUCGCCUUGGGAGCGGCCCGCGUCGGAUUAGCUAGUUGGUGGGGUAACGGCCUACCAAGGCUUCGAUCCGUAGCUGGUCUGAGAGGACGAUCAGCCACACUGGGACUGAGACACGGCCCAGACUCCUACGGGAGGCAGCAGUGGGGAAUCUUGCGCAAUGGGGGGCAACCCUGACGCAGCCAUGCCGCGUUA
Molecule: ribosomal RNA, 354 nt
Filed under: uncultured bacterium
Lineage: Bacteria
Description: bacterial SSU rRNA
Rfam family: Bacterial small subunit ribosomal RNA
Source: RNAcentral